ACCUUUCUAUUUAAAUUGCAGAAAGAAAAAAAAUUAUAAAAGCCCCAGCAUUAGAGUUUGUUAUGGGGAAGACCCGGUUAAUUAGAAGGGCAUAGCCCAUUACACAUAUAAUACCCGAUGAAACACAUAUAGUAGAACUUAGUUGGAAACCUAUGGAGAGGGUAGCCGAUAGAAUAGUAAAAGUGGCAUUUAAGGAGAAGAGAACCAGAGGUUGACCAUCAUCAAGGAGAGGGGAGGAUCCAAUUCCCGCAGGCUAGAGAUCUUACUUCGAAUGAUAGUAUCGAAGAUCCGGAGUAAGGCUUCUACAGAUCAGAACUGUUGAUGGUGAAGCCGAUUGUUGCGUUCUUCCCAGAGUAAGUAGAGAGUACAUUUCCAAGCUAGAAGGGUGAGUCUUCUCACCGUGGAUCCUUGCAGAGAUUGCAUGUGACCAAGAGUAGUCAGCCAAAAAUUGGAAGAUUGGAACCCGCAUUUUAAGGCGAUUAAAGACCAGACAGACCAAGUGAAACGGCAGAUAUAGUAUAAAUGGUCUCGGCUCUUAGGGCAAGAAUUACAUAGCAAACAAGAAGGGUCAGACUGAAGUCCCCACUGCAGUAUCCUAUCUCGAGUUGGGCAUCGAUUAAACACCAAGAGCCAAGUAUGGAAACUGUGUUUUGGGAUGCCUCUUGAAUUCCAUACCGCUUUACGCCAAGGGACCAGGGGGAGGAAGAUCGUAGGAGACGAUAGAUUUGGCUAGUGGAGUACUUUUUUUGAUUUAGCGUUGUAUUCUGAUGGAUUCCGAGUCUCGAAUCAGCAGUAGUAGAGAGGAACUCCUUUAUUUUACCAAACGGAGACCAGUUGUCAGACCAAACUCUACAGUUGUUUAGCGAGCCGCGUAAGAAAUGGAGCCUGAACCAUGCCACCCAAACUGAGCCAGAUUGGAAGAAGAGAAGCCAGAUGAGCUUCAGCAGACACGCACGAUUCCAAAAAUAGAGGUCACAGACUCCCAAUCCCCCUUGACUCUUCGGUUUAGUUACCAUUUCCCAUGAGACUCUCGCAGUGUGGUGUUCUUCCACAUUCCCUUUGCAAAGGUAAGCACUGCAUGGAGAGUGGAUCUUGGAUAUACAUUUUUUAGGAAGAGCAAAGGUGGCUCAUCAGAAAUUGGAGAUCCCUAAAAUGACAGUGUUGAUGAGCAUUAGUCUACCAGCAAAAGAUAAGUUUCUCGCACACCAGUUACAUAAUUCCUUGCAGAAAAAAACAAAUGUGUUAAUUAAGAAACUUUUACAUAUCCAUGUAUGGGUUUCCUUUCACGUAUGGUAUACUAGUAACUACCGAAUAGUAGUUAUUUGAUAUAUGUCGAAAAUGAAAUUCACACGCGUGGUAAUAAUUAUGGGACCGUAUGUUAAAGAACACUACAAUUUCAUUCUUUGUUGGUCAACAAUAAAAACAAAAACAAGAAAGAAAAACGAAUUUUUUUGUCGUUUGUUAAAUUUUCUUGGAUUCCAUUCAAUGAUCUAAAAAUGCAUAGAUCUUUUGGGUUACAGUUUCGAAGACCUCUACAAGGGUGUAACCAUCUGCAACUAUUAAAUUGCUUUCUUUAAUGCAUCUUUAACAUAUUUAUUGUUAGUUGGAAUUUAAUACGAGAAGGAACUUGUAACAGUUUUUUUUAAGGGCU
This is a non-coding RNA of Camelina sativa (false flax), 1651 nucleotides long. The record is from RefSeq and is a predicted model, not a curated record. Lineage: Eukaryota; Viridiplantae; Streptophyta; Magnoliopsida; Brassicales; Brassicaceae.